RNAcentral lists this ribosomal RNA (374 nucleotides) under uncultured bacterium. RNAcentral describes it as "bacterial SSU rRNA". It matches the Rfam family "Bacterial small subunit ribosomal RNA", at positions 282 to 668 of the family's 1533-position model. The record is from RNAcentral.
GGUAGCCGGCCUGAGAGGGUGUCCGGCCACACUGGGACUGAGAUACGGCCCAGACUCCUACGGGAGGCAGCAGUGGGGAAUAUUGCACAAUGGGCGCAAGCCUGAUGCAGCGACGCCGCGNGGGGGAUGACGGCCUUCGGGUUGUAAACCUCUUUCAAUAGGGACGAAGCGCAAGUGACGGUACCUAUAGAAGAAGCACCGGCCAACUACGUGCCAGCAGCCGCGGUAAUACGUAGGGUGCGAGCGUUGUCCGGAAUUACUGGGCGUAAAGAGCUCGUAGGUGGUUUGUCGCGUUGUCCGUGAAAUUUCACAACUCAAUUGUGAGCGUGCGGGCGAUACGGGCAGACUGGAGUACUGCAGGGGAGACUGGAAUU